UUGGAGCUAGGGUUAGGGUUAGGGUUAGGGUUGGAGUUAGGGUUAGUGUUGGAGCUAGGGUUAGGGUUGGGCUUGGAGCUAGGAUUUUUCUGAGUGCAAUGAACCAACUCCCGAGUCUCUAGGACGUUCCUAAAAAAAUUUGAUUUUUUCCCAUAGGAAUGCAUGGGUUAGGGUUAGGGUUAGGGUUGGAGCUAGGGUUAGGGUUAGGGUUAGGGUUGGAGUUAGGGUUAGUGUUGGAGCUAGGGUUAUGGUUGGGCUUGGAGCUAGGAUUUUUCUGAGUGCAAUGAACCAACUCCCGAGUCUCUAGGACGUUCCUACAAAAAUUUAAAUUUUUUCCCAUAGGAAUGCAUGGGUUAGGGUUAGGGUUAGGGUUGGAGCUAGGGUUAGGGUUAGGGUUAGGGUUGGAGUUAGGGUUAGUGUUGGAGCUAGGGUUAGGGUUGGGCUUGGAGCUAGGAUUUUUCUGAGUGCAAUGAACCAACUCCCGAGUCUCUAGGACGUUCCUAAAAAAAUUUGAUUUUUUCCCAUAGGAAUGCAUGGGUUAGGGUUAGGGUUAGGGUUGGAGCUGGGGUUAGGGUUAGGGUUGGAGUUAGGGUUAGUGUUGGAGCUAGGGUUAGGGUUGGGCUUGGAGCUAGGAUUUUUCUGAGUGCAAUGAACCAACUCCCGAGUCUCUAGGAUGUUCCUACAAAAAUUUGAUUUUUUUUCCCAUAGGAAUGCAUGGGUUAGGGUUAGGGUUAGGGUUGGAGCUAGGGUUAGGGUUAGGGUUAGGGUUGGAGUUAGGGUUAGUGUUGGAGCUAGGGUUAGGGUUGGGCUUGGAGCUAGGAUUUUUCUGAGUGCAAUGAACCAACUCCCGAGUCUCUAGGACGUUCCUAAAAAAAUUUGAUUUUUUCCCAUAGGAAUGCAUGGGUUAGGGUUAGGGUUAGGGUUGGAGCUAGGGUUAGGGUUAGGGUUAGGGUUGGAGUUAGGGUUAGUGUUGGAGCUAGGGUUAGGGUUGGGCUUGGAGCUAGGAUUUUUCUGAGUGCAAUGAACCAACUCCCGAGUCUCUAGGACGUUCCUAAAAAAAUUUGAUUUUUUUUCCCAUAGGAAUGCAUGGGUUAGGGUUAGGGUUAGGGUUGGAGCUAGGGUUAGGGUUAGGGUUGGAGUUAGGGUUAGUGUUGGAGCUAGGGUUAGGGUUGGGCUUGGAGCUAGGAUUUUUCUGAGUGCAAUGAACCAACUCCCGAGUCUCUAGGACGUUCCUAAAAAAAUUUGAUUUUUUUCCCAUAGGAAUGCAUGGGUUAGGGUUAGGGUUAGGGUUGGAGCUAGGGUUAGGGUUAGGGUUAGGGUUGGAGUUAGGGUUAGUGUUGGAGCUAGGGUUAGGGUUGGGCUUGGAGCUAGGAUUUUUCUGAGUGCAAUGAACCAACUCCCGAGUCUCUAGGACGUUCCUAAAAAAAUUUGAUUUUUUUCCCAUAGGAAUGCAUGGGUUAGGGUUAGGGUUAGGGUUGGAGCUAGGGUUAGGGUUAGGGUUAGGGUUGGAGUUAGGGUUAGUGUUGGAGCUAGGGUUAGGGUUGGGCUUGGAGCUAGGAUUUUUCUGAGUGCAAUGAACCAACUCCCGAGUCUCUAGGACGUUCCUAAAAAAAUUUGAUUUUUUUCCCAUAGGAAUGCAUGGGUUAGGGUUAGGGUUAGGGUUGGAGCUAGGGUUAGGGUUAGGGUUAGGGUUGGAGUUAGGGUUAGUGUUGGAGCUAGGGUUAGGGUUGGGCUUGGAGCUAGGAUUUUUCUGAGUGCAAUGAACCAACUCCCGAGUCUCUAGGACGUUCCUAAAAAAAUUGAUUUUUUUCCCAUAGGAAUGCAUGGGUUAGGGUUAGGGUUAGGGUUGGAGCUAGGGUUAGGGUUAGGGUUAGGGUUGGAGUUAGGGUUAGUGUUGGAGCUAGGGUUAGGGUUGGGCUUGGAGCUAGGAUUUUUCUGAGUGCAAUGAACCAACUCCCGAGUCUCUAGGACGUUCCUAUAAAAAUUGAUUUUUUCCCAUAGGAAUGCAUGGGUUAGGGUUAGGGUUAGGGUUAGGGUUGGAGCUAGGGUUAGGGUUAGGGUUAGGGUUGGAGUUAGGGUUAGUGUUGGAGCUAGGGUUAGGGUUGGGCUUGGAGCUAGGAUUUUUCUGAGUGCAAUGAACCAACUCCCGAGUCUCUAGGACGUUCCUAAAAAAUUUGAUUUUUUCCCAUAGGAAUGCAUGGGUUAGGGUUAGGGUUAGGGUUGGAGCUAGGGUUAGGGUUAGGGUUAGGGUUGGAGUUAGGGUUAGUGUUGGAGCUAGGGUUAGGGUUGGGCUUGGAGCUAGGAUUUUUCUGAGUGCAAUGAACCAACUCCCGAGUCUCUAGGACGUUCCUAAAAAAAUUUGAUUUUUUCCCAUAGGAAUGCAUGGGUUAGGGUUAGGGUUAGGGUUGGAGCUAGGGUUAGGGUUAGGGUUAGGGUUGGAGUUAGGGUUAGUGUUGGAGCUAGGGUUAGGGUUGGGCUUGGAGCUAGGAUUUUUCUGAGUGCAAUGAACCAACUCCCGAGUCUCUAGGACGUUCCUAAAAAAAAUGAUUUUUUCCCAUAGGAAUGCAUGGGUUAGGGUUAGGGUUAGGGUUGGAGCUAGGGUUAGGGUUAGGGUUAGGGUUGGAGUUAGGGUUAGUGUUGGAGCUAGGGUUAGGGUUGGGCUUGGAGCUAGGAUUUUUCUGAGUGCAAUGAACCAACUCCCGAGUCUCUAGGACGUUCCUAAAAAAAUUUGAUUUUUUUCCCAUAGGAAUGCAUGGGUUAGGGUUAGGGUUAGGGUUAGGGUUGGAGCUAGGGUUAGGGUUAGGGUUAGGGUUGGAGUUAGGGUUAGUGUUGGAGCUAGGGUUAGGGUUGGGCUUGGAGCUAGGAUUUUUCUGAGUGCAAUGAACCAACUCCCGAGUCUCUAGGACGUUCCUAAAAAAAUUGAUUUUUUCCCAUAGGAAUGCAUGGGUUAGGGUUAGGGUUAGGGUUAGGGUUGGAGCUAGGGUUAGGGUUAGGGUUAGGGUUGGAGUUAGGGUUAGUGUUGGAGCUAGGGUUAGGGUUGGGCUUGGAGCUAGGAUUUUUCUGAGUGCAAUGAACCAACUCCCGAGUCUCUAGGACGUUCCUAAAAAAAUUUGAUUUUUUCCCAUAGGAAUGCAUGGGUUAGGGUUAGGGUUAGGGUUGGAGCUAGGGUUAGGGUUAGGGUUAGGGUUGGAGUUAGGGUUAGUGUUGGAGCUAGGGUUAGGGUUGGGCUUGGAGCUAGGAUUUUUCUGAGUGCAAUGAACCAACUCCCGAGUCUCUAGGACGUUCCUAAAAAAAUUUGAUUUUUUUCCCAUAGGAAUGCAUGGGUUAGGGUUAGGGUUAGGGUUAGGGUUGGAGCUAGGGUUAGGGUUAGGGUUAGGGUUGGAGUUAGGGUUAGUGUUGGAGCUAGGGUUAGGGUUGGGCUUGGAGCUAGGAUUUUUCUGAGUGCAAUGAACCAACUCCCGAGUCUCUAGGACGUUCCUAAAAAAAUUUGAUUUUUUUCCCAUAGGAAUGCAUGGGUUAGGGUUAGGGUUAGGGUUGGAGCUAGGGUUAGGGUUAGGGUUAGGGUUGGAGUUAGGGUUAGUGUUGGAGCUAGGGUUAGGGUUGGGCUUGGAGCUAGGAUUUUUCUGAGUGCAAUGAACCAACUCCCGAGUCUCUAGGACGUUCCUAAAAAAAUUUGAUUUUUUUCCCAUAGGAAUGCAUGGGUUAGGGGUUAGGGUUAGGGUUGGAGCUAGGGUUAGGGUUAGGGUUAGGGUUGGAGUUAGGGUUAGUGUUGGAGCUAGGGUUAGGGUUGGGCUUGGAGCUAGG
Molecule: long non-coding RNA, 3804 nt
Filed under: Xyrichtys novacula (pearly razorfish)
Lineage: Eukaryota; Metazoa; Chordata; Actinopteri; Labriformes; Labridae
Source: RNAcentral